RNAcentral lists this ribosomal RNA (433 nucleotides) under uncultured bacterium. RNAcentral describes it as "partial 16S ribosomal RNA". It matches the Rfam family "Bacterial small subunit ribosomal RNA", at positions 29 to 507 of the family's 1533-position model. The record is from RNAcentral.
AGCGAACGCUGGCGGCAGGCCUAACACAUGCAAGUCGAACGGAUCCUUCGGGGUUAGUGGCGGACGGGUGAGUAACACGUGGGAACGUGCCCUUUGGUUCGGAACAACUCAGGGAAACUUGAGCUAAUACCGGAUGUGCCCUUCGGGGGAAAGAUUUAUCGCCAUUGGAGCGGCCCGCGUCUGAUUAGCUAGUUGGUGAGGUAACGGCCCACCAAGGCGACGAUCAGUAGCUGGUCUGAGAGGAUGAUCAGCCACACUGGGACUGAGACACGGCCCAGACUCCUACGGGAGGCAGCAGUGGGGAAUCGUGCGCAAUGGGCGAAAGCCUGACGCCGCCAUGCCGCGUGAAUGAUGAAGGUCUUAGGAUUGUAAAAUUCUUUCAGCGGGGACGAUAAUGACGGUACCCGCAGAAGAAGCUCCGGCUAACUUCGUG